This 1748-nucleotide ribosomal RNA is filed under the name Salmonella enterica. RNAcentral's name for it is "partial 23S ribosomal RNA". It matches the Rfam family "Bacterial large subunit ribosomal RNA", at positions 1200 to 2925 of the family's 2925-position model. The record is from RNAcentral. Lineage: Bacteria; Pseudomonadati; Pseudomonadota; Gammaproteobacteria; Enterobacterales; Enterobacteriaceae.
CUGCGGCAGCGACACUAUGUGUUGUUGGGUAGGGGAGCGUUCUGUAAGCCUGCGAAGGUGGCCUGUGAGGGUUGCUGGAGGUAUCAGAAGUGCGAAUGCUGACAUAAGUAACGAUAAAGCGGGUGAAAAGCCCGCUCGCCGGAAGACCAAGGGUUCCUGUCCAACGUUAAUCGGGGCAGGGUGAGUCGACCCCUAAGGCGAGGCCGAAAGGCGUAGUCGAUGGGAAACGGGUUAAUAUUCCCGUACUUGGUGUUACUGCGAAGGGGGGACGGAGAAGGCUAUGUUGGCCGGGCGACGGUUGUCCCGGUUUAAGCGUGUAGGUGUGUGUUCCAGGUAAAUCCGGUUCACUUUAACACUGAGGCGUGAUGACGAGGCACUACGGUGCUGAAGCAACAAAUGCCCUGCUUCCAGGAAAAGCCUCUAAGCAUCAGGUAACAUCAAAUCGUACCCCAAACCGACACAGGUGGUCAGGUAGAGAAUACCAAGGCGCUUGAGAGAACUCGGGUGAAGGAACUAGGCAAAAUGGUGCCGUAACUUCGGGAGAAGGCACGCUGACACGUAGGUGAAGUGAUUUACUCAUGGAGCUGAAGUCAGUCGAAGAUACCAGCUGGCUGCAACUGUUUAUUAAAAACACAGCACUGUGCAAACACGAAAGUGGACGUAUACGGUGUGACGCCUGCCCGGUGCCGGAAGGUUAAUUGAUGGGGUCAGCGCAAGCGAAGCUCCUGAUCGAAGCCCCGGUAAACGGCGGCCGUAACUAUAACGGUCCUAAGGUAGCGAAAUUCCUUGUCGGGUAAGUUCCGACCUGCACGAAUGGCGUAAUGAUGGCCAGGCUGUCUCCACCCGAGACUCAGUGAAAUUGAACUCGCUGUGAAGAUGCAGUGUACCCGCGGCAAGACGGAAAGACCCCGUGAACCUUUACUAUAGCUUGACACUGAACAUUGAGCCUUGAUGUGUAGGAUAGGUGGGAGGCUUUGAAGUGUGGACGCCAGUCUGCAUGGAGCCGGCCUUGAAAUACCACCCUUUAAUGUUUGAUGUUCUAACGUGGACCCGUGAUCCGGGUUGCGGACAGUGUCUGGUGGGUAGUUUGACUGGGGCGGUCUCCUCCUAAAGAGUAACGGAGGAGCACGAAGGUUGGCUAAUCCUGGUCGGACAUCAGGAGGUUAGUGCAAUGGCAUAAGCCAGCUUGACUGCGAGCGUGACGGCGCGAGCAGGUGCGAAAGCAGGUCAUAGUGAUCCGGUGGUUCUGAAUGGAAGGGCCAUCGCUCAACGGAUAAAAGGUACUCCGGGGAUAACAGGCUGAUACCGCCCAAGAGUUCAUAUCGACGGCGGUGUUUGGCACCUCGAUGUCGGCUCAUCACAUCCUGGGGCUGAAGUAGGUCCCAAGGGUAUGGCUGUUCGCCAUUUAAAGUGGUACGCGAGCUGGGUUUAGAACGUCGUGAGACAGUUCGGUCCCUAUCUGCCGUGGGCGCUGGAGAACUGAGGGGGGCUGCUCCUAGUACGAGAGGACCGGAGUGGACGCAUCACUGGUGUUCGGGUUGUCAUGCCAAUGGCACUGCCCGGUAGCUAAAUGCGGAAGAGAUAAGUGCUGAAAGCAUCUAAGCACGAAACUUGCCCCGAGAUGAGUUCUCCCUGAGACUUAGAGUCUCCUGAAGGAACGUUGAAGACGACGACGUUGAUAGGCCGGGUGUGUAAGCGCAGCGAUGCGUUGAGCUAACCGGUACUAAUGAACCGUGAGGCUUAACCUU